CGGAGGAUCCAAGCGUUAUCCGGAAUCAUUGGGUUUAAAGGGUCCGUAGGCGGUUUAGUAAGCCAGUGGUGAAAGCCCAUCGCUCAACGGUGGAACGGCCAUUGAUACUGCUAAACUUGAAUUAUAAGGAAGUAACUAGAAUAUGUAGUGUAGCGGUGAAAUGCUUAGAUAUUACAUGGAAUACCAAUUGCGAAGGCAGGUUACUACUUAUGGAUUGACGCUGAUGGACGAAAGCGUGGGGAGCGAACAGGAUUAGAUACCCUGGUAGUCCACGCCGUAAACGAUGGAUACUAGCUGUUCGGAGCAAUCUGAGUGGCUAAGCGAAAGUGAUAAGUAUCCCACCUGGGGAGUACGUUCGCAAGAAUG
RNAcentral lists this ribosomal RNA (366 nucleotides) under uncultured organism. RNAcentral describes it as "bacterial SSU rRNA". It matches the Rfam family "Bacterial small subunit ribosomal RNA", at positions 526 to 896 of the family's 1533-position model. The record is from RNAcentral.